Bombus pascuorum is the source of this 3127-nucleotide RNA transcript. It is a transcript of the gene named inositol 1,4,5-triphosphate receptor associated 2-like, with no coding region annotated. The record is from RefSeq and is a predicted model, not a curated record. The transcript is spliced from 11 exons. Lineage: Eukaryota; Metazoa; Arthropoda; Insecta; Hymenoptera; Apidae.
GAACAAAUACGCGAAAUACUUUUGAACAGCGAUGUAAAUCGGCGAGCUACAUACACACGUACGUACGUAUGUCUUAAUGAGCUGACGCGUAGAAGUUGCGAGCACAUGUGGAUGUUUAACGCGCUGGUUUAACAUUAGUCCAUCCAGUGGCAAGGACAAGCCAAUUUAUUGCUUCAAUGGUAUGAUCGCCGCGCUAAAUUGGAUAAAUCGGUGACGGUUCUAAUUAACGUACGGACCUAAUGUAUGCAAACUGUUUAUAUCGGCAGGAGGAUAAGGCAACUGUAAAACGGACCGCGCGUUCCCAUCCCCGUUGAUUAAAAUGUUCUGGUUCAUUUGACGCGCGGGUCGCUACACUCUUUACUCGUUGGCAUUGAUACGCCGCUCGGUAUUACGCAAUAAUCUCCUUAGCACCGUGCUGUUAACUAUGUUACAACUUUCCGUGGGUGUUUCGCGAACUUGCACGCGCUGGGAAUUGAAUAUCAUACCAUAACCGCGUCUCUUGCGUAUGCUGAUUUCUCAUGGUUCUACAAUGCAGAGAGAUUAUUCUAAUUUGAAUUCACAUUAUCGAAUUCCACUAAAUUCAUCGUGAUCGUGAAAAAUAAUCGCAACAAUUUGCUGAAUAUCUUGUUCGUGAAAUGAAUCUUUAUAAAGAUAUUCGCAUAAGAAUCCAUUGAUCUAAUUGCAAUAUACAAAUAUGAUACUAGAGAAUUGUGAUUUAAAUAGUAAGAAAAAAGUGAAACGUCCAAAAGAAAUAGCGAUAUCACAGUGAAGAGCCGUUAAAAUAACUCGUGGAAAUUAAAAACCGUCAAAUGGACGAAUCCACGAGUGAUAAUGAGAAACAGCCUCGAUCACAAGAAGUGGACGCAGAUCAGAAGCAACGAACCCCUAUAAAGGCGACAAAUUAUAUGACAUCGAACGACACUGACUUAUCGAAAAUUCCAAAACGAAAAUUGUCUGUAUUUUAUCGAUCGUUCGAUGUGAUCGCGCAGGUCGAUCAAGAGAAGGAGAAACAGACGUUGGAUUUUCGAAGAACGUCCAGCAGCCCGUCCGUACAAAUCGAAAGAACUCGAGAGGACGCCGAUUCGAAGAAUAGUCAGAUCGAUCAACAAACGAGUUUGCAGGAAAGACACUUCGUCGAUGAUUAUCGUUCGUUGAACGAGAACGGGAAGUUUUUGAGCUGCUCCUCGCCGGGUCGGCUCAGCGAAAAGCCCUCGUCGAAUAACGGGCAAGUUUCGAAAGCUGGAUCAUUAUCUCCGAUAGGGUUCAAGCUGCCUCAAGUUCUAGAGGACACGAUCGUCGAUAAUUACGCCACGAUUACCGAGACGUCAAUCGGGAAACACUAUAAGUUGAAUAACAAUGGGAAUUACGAGUGCAAAGUCGCCGACGAAAGUGCCGUGAUCAAUUCGCGCCAAACCAAUUCGUCACCCGACCUAACCAAUACUAUUCGAUCAUUCGCCAAAGAAAAAGUUGGAAACACUGAAACGAACAGCUCUGCCAAUGGAACGGCCGAGCCGCAACAUGGAAAUUCACCGCAAACGCGUUCAGCAUGUUCGCGAGCCAUCACGUGCACCGAUCUGGUUAAGAUCAAAGAUUCGGAGUAUCCCCGCUCGUUUGUGAACGCGUCGGGUGCCCGUCGUCUUGGGAAAUAUACAUCAGUCGAUGCCGAAAUGUCGAGUCACGAGGAUAGCUCGAUGGGUUCCGAUAGCGAGGACGAUUCGAUCGAACGGACCGUGCACGCCACGAUAUGUACGCGAAACGAGACGAAGAAUGAGAGGUCACGAUCGAAAAGUAGCAGCCCGUUGUCACAAACCUUGUCGUCUAUCUCGAUGGGUGAACCCUCCAGGAAACUCAACUUAAGGGAAAUCCAUGAUCAAAAAGUGGCGGAGGAUAUUGAGGAAUUUUGUCCGGAACGAGUGGAGCGACAAAAACUUUUUGCCGCAAGGAGAUCUCUGUCGGAAGGCGACUGCGAACGAUACCAUCGUACGAAACGUCGUUGCAGAUGCGUCAAAGAAGAGGAAUCGCUCGAUGAAGAACAAGAGAAAUUUCCACCUUUUCCUAGCUUCAACGACACUAGGUUACAAAUCAUGGGAUUAUCGUGCUCCAAUGAUAUAGACAGUGUAUACAGGGAAAAUAUACCAGAGAACGAGCUCGAGCGCAAAUAUAUUGCAUUUUCGAUAGGACUUGGUACGGAUAGGAUCACUCUGCAUCGGAGGAUGGCAUUGUCGCUUCGUCAACGAGAUCAAUCGGAACGAAACUUUAUGAAUGAAAUUCAAAAGAUGCAAGAAGAUAUAAACGGUCUGUGUCCACUUUGCACGGAUCAAGAGUCGAUAGAGAAAAUAGAAAACGUCCGUCAUCAGUUAGACAUGAUAGCACGCUCGGCCCAUAGAGUUUCUUGCGCCGCUGAAACACUCGGAGCAGUGUACCAGGAGCAUAGAAUCUCUCGUGCAAUCUUCAUAGGUGACAAGUAUUUGCAGUUAUUACGAUCCAGAUGCGAAAAUCUGGCAGCAGAUAUCGCAGAAGUCAAACAAAUAUUGUUGAAGAACAAUAUCAUGAUAGAAGAAACUACUGGAGAGGUGGGAGAUGAUUUACCUAAACUUAGAUACAGAAAUGGAUUACCUUGCAAUAAUCGAACAAUGAUGACUAGGAGAAGAGCGAGCAUCGCUACAAUUUCGCGACCCUUGAGUGCACAGGACAUAAAGGCAAUACUUUUUGUCAUACUAUUAUAUCUUCUGUGUAAAAAUUACAAGAAAAAGCUACAGUUAAAUAAAGAAAUUUUUUCUUUUUUUAAAUUCAGGAAAUUCCUAGGCAACGUAACUCUGUUUCCGGAAGAGUUAACUUAAGACGGCCAUCGUUAUGCUUCGAAACGCAGAGGUGGGAAAACGAAAAAUUAAACCGAACGGACAGCGCAAAUAGUGUCGUGGAAUUACGUGACAUUUUUGAGCACACUGAGCCGCGAAGAAAUUCCAUUGAAGAAAAUAACAACCUCUUAAGAAACGACCAAAGUAAUAACAUUAGUAGUAUGAAUUGUAACAUAGCCAGUAAUACAAGGGAUAGAGAUCGAUCAAUUAUCAAACAAAAUUCUUUCUUGGAAUCAAGUGUAACUAAAACUGUUGAAAAGCAGAUAAAA